AACUUUAAAAUGAGAGUUUGAUCCUGGCUCAGGACGAACGCUGGCGGCGUGCCUAAUACAUGCAAGUCGAACGAAACUUUCUUACACCGAAUGCUUGCAUUCACCGUAAGAAGUUGAGUGGCGGACGGGUGAGUAACACGUGGGUAACCUGCCUAAAAGAAGGGGAUAACACUUGGAAACAGGUGCUAAUACCGUAUAUCUCUAAGGAUCGCAUGAUCCUUAGAUGAAAGAUGGUUCUGCUAUCGCUUUUAGAUGGACCCGCGGCGUAUUAACUAGUUGGUGGGGUAACGGCCUACCAAGGUGAUGAUACGUAGCCGAACUGAGAGGUUGAUCGGCCACAUUGGGACUGAGACACGGCCCAAACUCCUACGGGAGGCAGCAGUAGGGAAUCUUCCACAAUGGACGCAAGUCUGAUGGAGCAACGCCGCGUGAGUGAAGAAGGUCUUCGGAUCGUAAAACUCUGUUGUUAGAGAAGAACACGAGUGAGAGUAACUGUUCAUUCGAUGACGGUAUCUAACCAGCAAGUCACGGCUAACUACGUGCCAGCAGCCGCGGUAAUACGUAGGUGGCAAGCGUUGUCCGGAUUUAUUGGGCGUAAAGGGAACGCAGGCGGUCUUUUAAGUCUGAUGUGAAAGCCUUCGGCUUAACCGGAGUAGUGCAUUGGAAACUGGAAGACUUGAGUGCAGAAGAGGAGAGUGGAACUCCAUGUGUAGCGGUGAAAUGCGUAGAUAUAUGGAAGAACACCAGUGGCGAAAGCGGCUCUCUGGUCUGUAACUGACGCUGAGGUUCGAAAGCGUGGGUAGCAAACAGGAUUAGAUACCCUGAUAGUCCACGCCGUAAACGAUGAAUGCUAGGUGUUGGAGGGUUUCCGCCCUUCAGUGCCGCAGCUAACGCAAUAAGCAUUCCGCCUGGGGAGUACGACCGCAAGGUUGAAACUCAAAGGAAUUGACGGGGGCCCGCACAAGCGGUGGAGCAUGUGGUUUAAUUCGAAGCAACGCGAAGAACCUUACCAGGUCUUGACAUCCUUUGACCACCUAAGAGAUUAGGCUUUCCCUUCGGGGACAAAGUGACAGGUGGUGCAUGGCUGUCGUCAGCUCGUGUCGUGAGAUGUUGGGUUAAGUCCCGCAACGAGCGCAACCCUUGUUGUCAGUUGCCAGCAUUAAGUUGGGCACUCUGGCGAGACUGCCGGUGACAAACCGGAGGAAGGUGGGGACGACGUCAAGUCAUCAUGCCCCUUAUGACCUGGGCUACACACGUGCUACAAUGGACGGUACAACGAGUCGCGAGACCGCGAGGUUUAGCUAAUCUCUUAAAGCCGUUCUCAGUUCGGAUUGUAGGCUGCAACUCGCCUACAUGAAGUCGGAAUCGCUAGUAAUCGCGAAUCAGCAUGUCGCGGUGAAUACGUUCCCGGGCCUUGUACACACCGCCCGUCACACCAUGAGAGUUUGUAACACCCAAAGCCGGUGGGGUAACCGCAAGGAGCCAGCCGUCUAAGGUGGGACAGAUGAUUGGGGUGAAGUCGUAACAAGGUAGCCGUAGGAGAACCUGCGGCUGGAUCACCUCCUU
This 1566-nucleotide ribosomal RNA is filed under the name Ligilactobacillus salivarius NIAS840. RNAcentral describes it as "bacterial SSU rRNA". It matches the Rfam family "Bacterial small subunit ribosomal RNA". Lineage: Bacteria; Bacillati; Bacillota; Bacilli; Lactobacillales; Lactobacillaceae. The record is from RNAcentral.